RNAcentral lists this ribosomal RNA (397 nucleotides) under uncultured bacterium. RNAcentral's name for it is "partial 16S ribosomal RNA". It matches the Rfam family "Bacterial small subunit ribosomal RNA", at positions 523 to 918 of the family's 1533-position model. The record is from RNAcentral.
AUACGUAGGUGGCAAGCGUUGUCCGGAAUUAUUGGGCGUAAAGCGCGCGCAGGUGGUUCCUUAAGUCUGAUGUGAAAGCCCCCGGCUCAACCGGGGAGGGUCAUUGGAAACUGGGGAACUUGAGUGCAGAAGAGGAUAGUGGAAUUCCAAGUGUAGCGGUGAAAUGCGUAGAGAUUUGGAGGAACACCAGUGGCGAAGGCGACUGUCUGGUCUGUAACUGACACGGAGGCGCGAAAGCGUGGGGAGCAAACAGGAUUAGAUACCCUGGUAGUCCACGCCGUAAACGAUGAGUGCUAAGUGUUGGGGGGUUUCCGCCCCUCAGUGCUGCAGCUAACGCAUUAAGCACUCCGCCUGGGGAGUACGGUCGCAAGACUGAAACUCAAAUGAAUUGACGGGG